Protobothrops mucrosquamatus (brown spotted pit viper) is the source of this 194-nucleotide small nuclear RNA. RefSeq annotates it as U2 spliceosomal RNA. The record is from RefSeq and is a predicted model, not a curated record. Lineage: Eukaryota; Metazoa; Chordata; Lepidosauria; Squamata; Viperidae. The transcript has a single exon.
AUACCUUCUCGGCCUUUUGGCUAUGAACUUGUGUAGUAUCUGUUCUUAUCAGUGUGACAGCUCAUAUGAGUCCAAUAGGUCUCAAUUAAUGUCACAACUAUUUUUUUAUGGGAGAAUAUGGUAAACGAGCUUGCUUGUGCCUAUUCUAAGUGUUACUUUUUCAUUGCACAUUCGAAAAUAGUGGCACACCUACA